GGGAAAUGUCUCAAUCUGAUAAGUUCAUCUACUGCUUUUUACUUUAAGGUGCCAUAAUUAGCAGCAUUCAAUUGCUUGUUCCAUAUUCUUUCUCCUUCUUAUAACAGUGGACCAGACACAGCUAGACAUAUAUAAUAAAAGAAAAAACCUGAACUUUUGUCCUAGGCGUCGAGAAGGAAAAACCAUGUUUUAGUUUGAUUAACUGCAAACCCCACACUGGUGACUGAUCCAAUGCUAAUUACUUUGGUUAAAUACUGAAGCUGCAUAGAUGUUAAGAGAAAAGAUAUAUAAUUACUAAUUAAACAGUAGAUAGUCACAACAAAGAAGCUGAUUUAAACACAGGGGAAAUCAAAUCAGCCACUAUCAAACUAGAAACCUAAACACCAAGUAGAUGACAUAACAACUAGAGCAACACCCACUGAAACCAACAGCAGACAAACUCCCCAAAGCGGUGCACGAGCCAGCCAAACCAAAGCACCAAUUUAUUCUUAUGCCACUAGUUCAAGCUGCUGGCUUCCACAGAAACCUCUCACUUGAUGCUGCAACACACAGAACUUGGUUAAGAACAUAAUAAUGUACCUAAUCAUAAUGAAAAUAUAAUCUAAUUUCAUAAAAAUGACUGGAUUUUUUUUCAUACCUUUUGCAGUCAGUAGAAGGAGAGAUCUUGUAAGGAAUAUUGACCCCACACUUGCCAGGAAGGCCAGCGGCAAGCCCAGCAUUUGCAUUGGUGUAAGGGAUGCCAUUGACGGCUUGCUUCAAGCAGUUGCAGAUGCUCUGGCGGUCAGCUGUGGUCUGAGCCAAGCUGUAGAGAGACCUGACCCCAGUGCAGCAACUAGGGUUCAAAGCCCCACCGUUUGCCACGUAGUUUAUGCAUGGGGUCAGAUUGUUCACCACCUGGCCGCAUGACACAGCUGCCAUGGCCUUGGGACCACCAACCGCCAUGCAGCACAUCACCGCCACAAGGCAAACGAGCUUGAGGAGCUGUCCAGAGCUAGCCAUAACGACGUCGUAAGUAAAGCUGAUAUAUUAUCUCUUUUGAAACUAACUUUUGCUCUAGUAUUUGGGGACAGAUAAUGGUGGCUAU
Molecule: long non-coding RNA, 1084 nt
Filed under: Prunus dulcis (almond)
Lineage: Eukaryota; Viridiplantae; Streptophyta; Magnoliopsida; Rosales; Rosaceae
Description: sRNA ncRNA
Source: RNAcentral